RNAcentral lists this ribosomal RNA (319 nucleotides) under uncultured Bacteroidales bacterium. RNAcentral's name for it is "partial 16S ribosomal RNA". The record is from RNAcentral. Lineage: Bacteria; Pseudomonadati; Bacteroidota; Bacteroidia; Bacteroidales.
GGAGUCUGGUCCGUGUCUCAGUACCAGUGUGGGGGACCUUCCUCUCAGAACCCCUACGCAUCGUAGCCUUGGUGGGCCGUUGCCCCGCCAACCAGCUAAUGCGCCGCAUGCCCAUCCCCUACCGACUCGUCUUUCCCCGCAGCGCGAUGCCGCGCCGCGGACUACGGGGCAUUAGGCCAAAUUUCUCUGGGUUAUUCCCCUGUAGGGGGCAGGUUGCAUACGUGUUACUCACCAGUGCGCCGGUCGCCGUCGGGUGGUGUUGCCACCUCCCACGCUGCCCCUCGACUUGCAUGUGUUAAGCCUGUCGCUAGCGUUCAUC